GGGGCGUUAGCCAAGCCCGGACGAAGGCACGCGGUUCUCAGCCGCGCACGCGCGGGUUCUCGAUCCCGCACGCCCUGCCA
RNAcentral lists this transfer RNA (80 nucleotides) under Acidobacteriota bacterium. RNAcentral's name for it is "Acidobacteria bacterium tRNA-Glu". The record is from RNAcentral. Lineage: Bacteria; Pseudomonadati; Acidobacteriota. RNAcentral also lists the same sequence under 1 other name.